UGCAACGAUGAAGAACGCAGCGAAAUGCGAUACGUAGUGUGAAUUGCAGAAUUCCGCGAAUCAUCGAGUCUUUGAACGCAAGUUGCGCCCGAGGCUCGACCGAGGGCAUCUCUGCCAGAGCGUCACCG
This 128-nucleotide ribosomal RNA is filed under the name Leucoloma cruegerianum. RNAcentral's name for it is "partial 5.8S ribosomal RNA". It matches the Rfam family "5.8S ribosomal RNA", at positions 29 to 154 of the family's 154-position model. From Rfam's summary of the family: 5.8S ribosomal RNA (5.8S rRNA) is a component of the large subunit of the eukaryotic ribosome. It is transcribed by RNA polymerase I as part of the 45S precursor that also contains 18S and 28S rRNA. The record is from RNAcentral. Lineage: Eukaryota; Viridiplantae; Streptophyta; Bryopsida; Dicranales; Dicranaceae.